RNAcentral lists this ribosomal RNA (2882 nucleotides) under Psychrobacter sp. ANT_WB68. Its description in RNAcentral is "23S ribosomal RNA". It matches the Rfam family "Bacterial large subunit ribosomal RNA". The record is from RNAcentral. Lineage: Bacteria; Pseudomonadati; Pseudomonadota; Gammaproteobacteria; Moraxellales; Moraxellaceae.
GUUGUAUGGUCAAGUAAUGAAGCGCACAUGGUGGAUGCCUUGGCAGUCAGAGGCGAUGAAAGACGUGACAGCCUGCGAUAAGCUUCGGGGAGGCGGCAAUAUCCUGUGAUCCGGAGAUUUCUGAAUGGGGAAACCCACUUACCAUAAGGUAGGUAUCUUGUACUUGUACAAGAAGCGAACGAGGGGAAGUGAAACAUCUCAGUACCCUUAGGAAUAGACAUCAAUUGAGAUUCCCCUAGUAGCGGCGAGCGAACGGGGAGAAGCCGAUUAAUUCUAAUGUAGAAGAACAGCGUGGGAAAGCUGACCGUAGUAGGUGAUAGUCCUGUAUUCGAAACAUUAGAGUUAACAUAUUAAGUAGAGCGGGGCACGAGAAAUCCUGUUUGAAGAUGGGGGGACCAUCCUCCAAGGCUAAAUACUCCUGACUGACCGAUAGUGAACCAGUACCGUGAGGGAAAGGCGAAAAGAACCCCUGUGAGGGGAGUGAAAUAGAACCUGAAACCGUGUGCGUACAAGCAGUGGGAGCCUUAAUUUAUUAGGGUGACCGCGUACCUUUUGUAUAAUGGGUCAGCGACUUAUGUUCUGUAGCAAGGUUAACCGUUUAGGGGAGCCGUAGGGAAACCGAGUCUUAAUAGGGCGAAUUAGUUGCAGGGCAUAGACCCGAAACCGAGUGAUCUAUCCAUGAGCAGGUUGAAAGUGCCGUAACAGGCACCGGAGGACCGAACCCACUGUCGUUGAAAAGCCAGGGGAUGACUUGUGGAUAGGGGUGAAAGGCUAAUCAAACUCGGUGAUAGCUGGUUCUCCCCGAAAGCUAUUUAGGUAGCGCCUCGGACGAACACCAUUGGGGGUAGAGCACUGUUUCGGCUAGGGGGUCAUACCGACUUACCAAACCGAUGCAAACUCCGAAUACCGAUGAGUGAUAUCCGGGAGACACACAGUGGGUGCUAACGUCCAUUGUGGAGAGGGAAACAACCCAGACCGCCAGCUAAGGCCCCAAAUUCCUAGUUAAGUGGGAAACGAGGUGGGAAGGCAUAGACAGCUAGGAGGUUGGCUUAGAAGCAGCCAUCCUUUAAAGAAAGCGUAAUAGCUCACUAGUCGAGUCGGCCCGCGCGGAAGAUGUAACGGGGCUCAAACUAGGAGCCGAAGCUGCGGAUUUGAAUUUGUUUUCAAGUGGUAGGGGAGCGUUGUGUAAGCCUGUGAAGGUGUGUUGUAAAGCAUGCUGGAGGUAUCACAAGAGCGAAUGCUGACGUGAGUAACGAUAAUGCGAGUGAAAAGCUCGCACGCCGGAAGAUCAAGGGUUCCAGUCCAACGUUAAUCGGGGCUGGGUGAGUCGACCCCUAAGGCGAGGCCGAAAGGCGUAGUCGAUGGGAAAUCGGUUAAUAUUCCGAUACUUGUUUAUAAUGCGAUGGAGGGACGGAGUAGGUUAUGUCAGCCUGGCGUUGGUUGUCCAGGUGAAAGGAUGUAGGCUUACAGUUUAGGCAAAUCCGGACUGUAAUACGGCUGAGAUCUGAUAGCAAGCUGUACUUGUACAGCGAAGUGGCAAAUACCAUGCUUCCAGGAAAAGCUUCUAAGCAAUAGUUAUAAACGAAUCGUACCCUAAACCGACACAGGUGAUCAGGUAGAGAAUACCAAGGCGCUUGAGAGAACUCUGCUGAAGGAACUAGGCAAAAUGGUACCGUAACUUCGGGAGAAGGUACGCUGCCGAUGGUGAUAGGACUUGCUCCUUGAGCUGUUGGCAGUCGCAGAUACCAGGCUGCUGCAACUGUUUAUUAAAAACACAGCACUCUGCAAACACGAAAGUGGACGUAUAGGGUGUGAUGUCUGCCCGGUGCUGGAAGGUUAAUUGAUGGGGUUAGCGUAAGCGAAGCUCUUGAUCGAAGCCCCAGUAAACGGCGGCCGUAACUAUAACGGUCCUAAGGUAGCGAAAUUCCUUGUCGGGUAAGUUCCGACCUGCACGAAUGACAUAAUGAUGGCAGCGCUGUCUCCAGCAGAGACUCAGUGAAAUCGAAAUCGCAGUGAAGAUGCUGUGUACCCGCGGCUAGACGGAAAGACCCCGUGAACCUUUACUACAGCUUUACAUUGAACUUUGACCUGACUUGUGCAGGAUAGGUGGGAGGCUUUGAAGCCGAGACGCUAGUCUUGGUGGAGCCAAUCUUGAAAUACCACCCUGGUCAUGUCGGGGUUCUAACUCAGGUAUAACAAUACCGAGGACAAUGUAUGGUGGGUAGUUUGACUGGGGCGGUCUCCUCCUAAAGAGUAACGGAGGAGUACGAAGGUGCGCUCAGAACGGUCGGAAAUCGUUCAUAGAGUAUAAAGGCAAAAGCGCGCUUAACUGCGAGACCCACAAGUCGAGCAGGUACGAAAGUAGGUCUUAGUGAUCCGGUGGUUCUGUAUGGAAGGGCCAUCGCUCAACGGAUAAAAGGUACUCUGGGGAUAACAGGCUGAUACCGCCCAAGAGUUCAUAUCGACGGCGGUGUUUGGCACCUCGAUGUCGGCUCAUCUCAUCCUAGGGCUGAAGCAGGUCCUAAGGGUAUGGCUGUUCGCCAUUUAAAGAGGUACGCGAGCUGGGUUUAGAACGUCGUGAGACAGUUCGGUCCCUAUCUACCGUGGGCGUUGGAAAUUUGAGAGGAUCUGCUCCUAGUACGAGAGGACCAGAGUGGACGAACCUCUGGUGUUCGGGUUGUCACGCCAGUGGCAUUGCCCGGUAGCUACGUUCGGAUGGGAUAACCGCUGAAAGCAUCUAAGCGGGAAGCCCACCUCAAGAUUAGAUUUCCCUAAAGAGCCGUUGAAGACUACGACGUUGAUAGGCAGGGUGUGGAAGCACAGCGAUGUGUGUAGCUAACCUGUACUAAUUGCUCGUUUGGCUUGACCAUACAACACCCAAG